CCUACGGGUGGCAGCAGUGGGGAAUAUUGGGCAAUGGGCGCAAGCCUGACCCAGCAACGCCGCGUGAAGGAAGAAGGCUUUCGGGUUGUAAACUUCUUUUCUGAGGGACGAAGAACGUGACGGUACCUCAGGAAUAAGCCACGGCUAACUACGUGCCAGCAGCCGCGGUACUACGUAGGUGGCAAGCGUUCUCCGGAUUUAUUGGGUGUAAAGGGCGUGUAGGCGGGAAAGCAAGUCAGAGGUGAAAACUCAGGGCUCAACCCUGAGCCUGCAUUUGAAACUGUUUGUCUUGAGUGCUGGAGAGGCGAUCGGAAUUCCGUGUGUAGCGGUGAAAUGCGUAGAUAUACGGAGGAACACCAGUGGCGAAGGCGGAUUGCUGGACAGUAACUGACGCUGAGGCGCGAAAGCGUGGGGAGCAAACAGGAUUAGAUACCCGAGUAGUC
This 443-nucleotide ribosomal RNA is filed under the name uncultured bacterium. Its description in RNAcentral is "partial 16S ribosomal RNA". It matches the Rfam family "Bacterial small subunit ribosomal RNA", at positions 338 to 795 of the family's 1533-position model. The record is from RNAcentral.